AGGGGUAUAGCUCAAUUGGCAGAGCGUCGGUCUCCAAACCCGAAGGUUGUAGGUUCGAUUCCUACUGCCCCUGCCA
This 76-nucleotide transfer RNA is filed under the name Polaromonas sp. Its description in RNAcentral is "tRNA-Trp". It matches the Rfam family "tRNA". Rfam says of the family: Transfer RNA (tRNA) molecules are approximately 80 nucleotides in length. Their secondary structure includes four short double-helical elements and three loops (D, anti-codon, and T loops). The record is from RNAcentral. Lineage: Bacteria; Pseudomonadati; Pseudomonadota; Betaproteobacteria; Burkholderiales; Comamonadaceae.